This 735-nucleotide small RNA is filed under the name Pan troglodytes (chimpanzee). Its description in RNAcentral is "retained intron". The record is from RNAcentral. Lineage: Eukaryota; Metazoa; Chordata; Mammalia; Primates; Hominidae.
CUCAAAUGCAAUUAAUUUCUUUACCCAUGUUUUAAAGUAUUUUAAAUUUAUCAGAGUGCAUUGCUCACAUAGUUUCAUAUUUUUUAUCCAUUUUGUAGGAAAAUAUUUUUUGAGAGUGUGAUAAUCGAAACGUUUUGUUUUGUUUGUUUUUUGAUUGGUUAGUUGGUUUGUCAGAGGAAUAGAAGAUUUUUCCCAUGCGAUCACAUCUUUGGUAAGGACAGGAUGUUUAUAUUAUAGUGAUAUAAAGGAAAGAAAUACCAACAAUUGGAUACUUCCGUAAGGACAUAAUAACCAACUGUAACUUGUUUUGUGUGUUUCUGUCUGUUAAGUGCAUCUAGUGAGAGUGAAGCUGAAAAUCUUGAAGCACAACCCCAGUCUACUGUCCGUCCAGAAGAGAUCCCUCCUAUACCUGAAAAUAGAUUCCUAAUGAGAAAAAGUCCUCCUAAAGCUGAUGAGAAGGAAAGGAAAAACAGAGAGAGAGAAAGGGAAAGAGAGUGUAAUCCACCUAACUCCCAGCCUGCUUCAUACCAGAGACGACUUUUAGUUACUAGAUCUGGCAGGAAAAUUAAAGGAAGAGGACCAAGGCGUUAUCGAACUCCUUCCAGAUCCAGAUCAAGGGAUCGUUUCAGACGUAGUGAGACUCCUCCACAUUGGAGGCAAGAGAUGCAGAGAGCUCAAAGAAUGAGGGUAUCAAGUGGUGAAAGAUGGAUCAAGGGGGAUAAGUAAGAUUUAACU